GAUGAACGCUAGCGAUAGGCUUAACACAUGCAAGUCGAGGGGCAGCAUGGUCUUAGCUUGCUAAGACUGAUGGCGACCGGCGCACGGGUGCGUAACGCGUAUGCAACUUGCCUCACAGAGGGGGAUAACCCGUCGAAAGACGGACUAAUACCGCGUACACUUGGGAUAGGGCAUCCUGACCCAAGGAAAUGAAAUUCGCUGUGAGAUAGGCAUGCGUCCCAUUAGCUAGUUGGUGAGGUAACGGCUCACCAAGGCGACGAUGGGUAGGGGAACUGAGAGGUUGAACCCCCACACUGGUACUGAGACACGGACCAGACUCCUACGGGAGGCAGCAGUGAGGAAUAUUGGUCAAUGGGCGAGAGCCUGAACCAGCCAAGUCGCGUGAAGGAUGACUGUCUUAUGGAUUGUAAACUUCUUUUAUACGGGAAUAACAAGGGCCACGUGUGGCUCCCUGCAUGUACCGUAUGAAUAAGCAUCGGCUAACUCCGUG
This 490-nucleotide ribosomal RNA is filed under the name uncultured bacterium. RNAcentral's name for it is "partial 16S ribosomal RNA". It matches the Rfam family "Bacterial small subunit ribosomal RNA", at positions 28 to 507 of the family's 1533-position model. The record is from RNAcentral.